ACAACCAGUAUGGUGUUGUUUUUCCUUCAUCAAACAACAUGAGAGCUUGUUGGGAAAUUUGCUUAAUAAUAAUUUUAGGGGCAGUAGUACACUGCACAGUAUAUCAUAUUUCACGUACAAAAAAAAACUGGGUCGGUGCUAUCGAAUACUGCAAAUGCUACGGGAUGCAUCUGGCGGUGGUUGACACGGCGGCGAAG
Long non-coding RNA from Aedes aegypti (yellow fever mosquito), 197 nucleotides. RefSeq lists it as uncharacterized. NCBI's taxonomy places the organism in Eukaryota, Metazoa, Arthropoda, Insecta, Diptera, Culicidae. The transcript has 2 exons. The record is from RefSeq and is marked validated.